RNAcentral lists this ribosomal RNA (322 nucleotides) under uncultured bacterium. RNAcentral's name for it is "bacterial SSU rRNA". It matches the Rfam family "Bacterial small subunit ribosomal RNA", at positions 84 to 422 of the family's 1533-position model. The record is from RNAcentral.
CCAUGAGUAAAGUGGCGACCGGGUGAGUAACACGUGACUAACCUACCCUAGAGUGGGGGAUAACCGCGGGAAACUGCGGCUAAUACCGGAUGCUCCCUACGGGGGAAAGAUUUAUCGCCGAAGGAGGGGCCCGCGUCCGAUUAGGUAGAUGGUGAGGUAACGGCUCACCAAGCCUGUGAUCGGUAGCUGGUCUGAGAGGAUGAUCAGCCACACUGGGACUGAGACACGGCCCAGACUCCUACGGGAGGCAGCAGUGGGGAAUAUUGGACAAUGGGGGCAACCCUGAUCCAGCAAUGCCGCGUGAGUGAUGAAGGCCUUCGGG